UACGUAGGGAGCAAGCGUUGUCCGGAAUCAUUGGGCGUAAAGAGCGCGUAGGUGGCUUCGUAAGUCCGUUGUGAAAGUCAAAGGCUCAACCUUUGAAAGCCGAUGGAUACUGCGAAGCUAGAGUACGGAAGAGGCGAGUGGAAUUCCUGGUGUAGCGGUGGAAUGCGCAGAUAUCAGGAGGAACACCAAUAGCGAAGGCAGCUCGCUGGGACGUUACUGACACUGAGGCGCGAAAGCGUGGGGAGCGAACAGG
Molecule: ribosomal RNA, 253 nt
Filed under: uncultured bacterium
Lineage: Bacteria
Description: partial 16S ribosomal RNA
Rfam family: Bacterial small subunit ribosomal RNA
Source: RNAcentral